This 335-nucleotide unclassified non-coding RNA is filed under the name Hevea brasiliensis (rubber tree). The record is from RNAcentral. Lineage: Eukaryota; Viridiplantae; Streptophyta; Magnoliopsida; Malpighiales; Euphorbiaceae.
CAGUUUUUUUAUUUUUUAUUUUUUGGUUGAAAUGACUUAAAGUUGUUAUAUAAAGCAUACGUUUGGGAAGCUAGUAGGUCAGACUUGGCUAGCUUAGAUGUGGUUCUUACAUUCAACUAAUUAUUAACUAAAUCAGUAACCUAGGUGUAAUAUGGACAAUAACUAGAAACAUAAAAGAUUUAAAUGAUAUGAAGUUGGCCUUAGGGAAGCAAACUAAUGCCUUAGGGUGUGUUUGGUAGAAGAUUAAAAAAAUCAUGUUACUAUUAUAAGUUUUAAUUUUUAAAAGAGAUAAUUAUGAAUUUAGGUCCCUAAACUUAAUAUUUAACUCCAAAAAA